GACGAACGCUGGCGGCGUGCCUAAUACAUGCAAGUCGAACGCAGUGGGGACGGGUGAGUAACACGUGGGUAACCUCCCAUCAGAGGGGAUAACACUUGGAAACAGGUGCUAAACCGAUACUGAUUGAUGUACCCGCGGUGCAUUAGCUAGUGGGUGAGGUAACGGCUCACCAAGGCCACGAUGCAUAGGCGACCUGAGAGGGUGAGCGGCCACACUGGGACUGUGACAAGUCCCAGACUCCUACGGGAGGCAGCAGUAGGGAAUCUUCGGCAAGGGACGAAAGGCUGACCGAGCAACGCAGCGUGAAUGAAGAAGGUUUGCGGAUCGUAAAAGUCUGUUGUUAGAGAAGCGGUAUCUAACCAGAAAGCCACGGCUAACUACGUGCCAGCAGCCGCGGUAAUUC
This 403-nucleotide ribosomal RNA is filed under the name uncultured bacterium. Its description in RNAcentral is "partial 16S ribosomal RNA". It matches the Rfam family "Bacterial small subunit ribosomal RNA", at positions 28 to 526 of the family's 1533-position model. The record is from RNAcentral.